UGGGGAAUUUUGGACAAUGGGGGAAACCCUGAUCCAGCCAUCCCGCGUGUGCGAUGAAGGCCUUCGGGUUGUAAAGCACUUUUGGCAGGAAAGAAACGUCAUGGGUUAAUACCCCGUGAAACUGACGGUACCUGCAGAAUAAGCACCGGCUAACUACGUGCCAGCAGCCGCGGUAAUACGUAGGGUGCAAGCGUUAAUCGGAAUUACUGGGCGUAAAGCGUGCGCAGGCGGUUCGGAAAGAAAGAUGUGAAAUCCCAGGGCUCAACUUUGGAACUGCAUUUAUAACUACCGGGCUAGAGUGUGUCAGAGGGAGGUGGAAUUCCGCGUGUAGCAGUGAAAUGCGUAGAUAUGCGGAGGAACACCGAUGGCGAAGGCAGCCUCCUGGGAUAACACUGACGCUCAGGCACGAAGGCGUGGGGAGCAAACAGG
This 429-nucleotide ribosomal RNA is filed under the name Acidobacteriota bacterium. RNAcentral's name for it is "Acidobacteria bacterium partial 16S ribosomal RNA". It matches the Rfam family "Bacterial small subunit ribosomal RNA", at positions 355 to 776 of the family's 1533-position model. The record is from RNAcentral. Lineage: Bacteria; Pseudomonadati; Acidobacteriota.